AAUGUAGUUACUGGUGGUCACGAUGAGA
Molecule: small RNA, 28 nt
Filed under: Bombyx mori (domestic silkworm)
Lineage: Eukaryota; Metazoa; Arthropoda; Insecta; Lepidoptera; Bombycidae
Description: ovarian small RNA-10852
Source: RNAcentral